This 1808-nucleotide long non-coding RNA is filed under the name Sorghum bicolor (sorghum). RNAcentral describes it as "long non-coding RNA (SBIC_LNC007836)". The record is from RNAcentral. Lineage: Eukaryota; Viridiplantae; Streptophyta; Magnoliopsida; Poales; Poaceae.
AACUGAACUAGAACACAUAAAGAAAUCUCAUUGUGAAGUCUUCCUCGACAAUGUCAAACAUGAUUUCAAAUUUUGGUUCCACGUUUACUGCACUUCUUGAUCCAGUUAUGUUUCAAUCAGGUGGAAUUCAUUCAUGCCACUUAUUUAUAUCACUGAAAUCUUACCUUUUUAUCAUUAUAAUGAAUGAAUGAUUGAAGAUAAUGUGGAAGAUUUUAUAUGGGUAUUGCUUGAUGCAAACCUUGCCUCCACAAAACUAAGAGAUGACAUCUAAGUAUGGACCAUAAUGAUAGAUAGAUGAAAACACAAAUGCACUAAAACCACCCAUGCAAACACGCAAUAUAGACAUGGAAAGAAAAUUCAACCGAAUUUGGCCAACGAAGCAUUCGUACCUGUGUCGUGCUAUAACAUCUUAUACAGAUUUUAAAUAAAGAAGAUAUGGUCUGAAUCCUUUCUAAUCUAGAAAAUGGCUACACAUAGUUGUGAUUCUAGACAAGCAUCUUAGGCAUCUUAUACAGUAUUUAAAUAAAGAAGACAUGGUUUGAACCCUUUCUAAUCUGGAAAAUGGCUACACAUAUUGUGAUAAUAAGAAGACAUGCAUCUUAUACAAUUCAAAUAAAGAAGACAUGGUUGGAACCCUUUCUAAUCUGGAAAAUGGCUACACAUAGUUGUGAUAAUAAGAACAGACCUUAAAGCAACCACGCACACAACAAUAAAAUCAGGCAAGAGCUAAGAACCACCGGACCAUGAGCCUCCACAUCAUGCAGAUCAUAACCCAUCUGCUUAAUGUGUAUAAGGAUUUGGACAAGACUUUAAAUUGUGUAAUUUGACCAUCGAUUUCUCUUAAAAUAUAUUACGAAUUGCUACAAAUCAAUGUCGUAUUAAAAGAUUUCUGAACUGAAUCUAUUGAUAUAACUUUUAUUCACUAAGCAUAAACAUAAUCUGAGUAGCUAUUAGUCAACAUUUAUGAAUUUGACCUUUUUCAAAUCCUAAUACAUUAUGUUCCUGUAAAAAUAAACAGAGCAAUGUUUAAGUUAAGCAUGUCCACUCGUCUAGACGACGUAUUCUAAUUUCUUAACAAUAGGUAAAUCCCAAUGCAACAGAUAAUAUGAUUAUCAGGAGAGGGAAGAGAAUUUAAACCACAAUAAGAACCUGUAGGCACAAAUCUGAUACCCAAAGUGAGAUGUUAUCUCUUAUUUUGCUAUUUGGAUCACUAUUUUUGGAGCAAACAUUACUUCAGAAAUUAAGACCAUACAUAAUUAAGAGCUUGCGAAAUUACAAGGACUACAUGCAGUAUGUUAGUGUUGGGGCAUAUUUUAGCUUGUACUUUGCAUUGCUUUUGGGUUAAAAAUAACUGGAGCAAUCUUUGGAAAGACAAAAAAUUACUCAAUAUGUCCCAGACAGUGGGAGACAGUGGGACACAUAUUGGUGUAUAAAAAAGAAUCAAGGUUGUAAACUGCUAGAAUACUAUUAGCGUCUUCACCCGGAUGUGGCAGUAUGAUAGUUGGUGUCAAUCUGUUAGAACUUGACUUUGAAUUUCAAAUUUGUUGCUUUGCCUAGCGUUGAGUCAGGUGGUAGCCGUUACAGAUAUAGGCCUUUAUCUCUAUUUUGUUUCUAACUACUUGCUUGAACAUAUGUAUUUCCUAUUGUGUGAGAUUAUCACCUGAAAAUUCCUCAUUUGCAAUCUGUUAGUGGCUGCUAGUACCAAGCAAAUUAACGAGGAAGCUAAUAGCUGAUUAGUAGAGUACACGCAAUAGCUGCUAGCGGAGCAGUAACAGAAGCGUGGGGUAGUGGUACUCAUACCGUACCUC